CCUUAAGAGAAGAACAUAGUGCAGUUCCCAAGAGGACAGACAUGCUCUACCACCCAAGGCUACAGGAGGAAGCACCUGGGUUAGAUAGAAGGCAAAGGAGGCAAGGGCAGAAUGUGGCCUUGAGUCCUUACGGGAACAUCUAUGAGGACAGAUGGGCAAGGCGGGAAAACCAAAUCUGAGCAGGUUUACAUAUCAUGGGGGCUCUAGGCUAGAUAGGUAGUGUCUAGUUGCUGGGUGCUUGGCUCUAGGCUGAUCUCAGGCAUGGGGAGUUCUGCCUUGAGUACAUGAGGGCUGUUAAGGAGGUGAUUAUAUAUAUAUAUAUGCUUCAGGUUGGUUGGUUUGUAUGUGAAGGAUGUUGUGCUGGUUGGUUUCUGUCGAGUUAACACAAACUUAUACAUAUCUGGGAAGAGGGAAUAUUAAUUAAGAAAAUGCCUUAAUAGGAUUGGCCUAUGGUGAUUUUUUUGGAUUGGUUUAUUGAUGUGGGUGGUGACACCCUUGGAUAGGUGGUCCUGAAUGGCCUGAGAAAACAGUCUGAGCAGGUCAUAAGCACUCCUCCAAGGCCUCUGCAUCAGAACCUCCAGGUUCCUGCUCUAAGUUCCUUCUCUGACAUCCCUGGAUGAUGGACUCCAAGCUAUAAGCUGAAAUAAGCCCUUUUGCCCCUAUGUUUCUUUAGCUAAGGUGUUUUAUCACACCAAUAGAAGCCCUAACUAAGACCCAUGUAUUUGUAGGACAGCCUUAACUAUCUGUAGGAAUUUGUUCCCUCAAAAGGACAGGCUCUCUGGCAUUGGCAAAUCCCAGGAUGUCAAAAUAUAAUAAAACCCAGAGGAUAAAAAAAUGUGGUCAAGGUGGUGGUAUGCAUGGCUCAGGGUCAUGAACACCAUGUCCCUUGCCAGCUGAAGUGAAUGUGGUUACUUUUAGUGGCUGGCUGUCCCUUUGUCCUCCUGGAAGCCUUCUCCCUCUGCCUGCUUUUCUUUUACAGGAGGUUGGUGACACCACAGUGUUCAAUACUCAGACUUCCAGAUUACUGUGCAACAGAGACUCCUGUGUCACCCUAAGCACUGGUGUUGACAGAGAAGAGAAAAAUCGCAGAUGCCUGCCUCUCCUAAGCCCAGGGCACGCUGUGUGUUUCGAUUUCAUGCUGGUGGUCAGUCUAUCCCUGAAAAGCCAUCUUCUGCCUUGAAUUCCAUCUCCUAGCUACCUCUAUGGCUACCUGGGUUAUGUGGAUGAAGCUCAGGAAGAGGAUCCCUAAGACUAUAGCAGGAAAGUUCUAAGCAGACAUGGAAGUCACUGGGCUGGUUGAGCUUUGAUCUGGGAAAAUGGAAGGCCGGGUUUCUGGGUGCCCACUGCCAACUUUUGCAGCAAGAGUGAGCCUUGUUGAUCCUGCUGGCUCAGACGUACUCCAUUUCCUGGUAAUUAAACAAGUGGAGAUCAAAGCUGACAAAUCUCCCAGUCUCUCAGAACAGGAGAUGAAGGUCCUGCCUCAGCCUGUGUCUUGCCUCAGCACGGGAGUCUGUCUCAGCUGACGUCACUCUACCAAUCAGCCCCAGUCCGCAGAAGUGAUAAGAAGCUGCAUCACACCAUCAGAAGUUUUUUUGGUGCGUUUUUGGAGCUCAACUAUGCAAUGUAAGGCUGGCCAAUACAUGCAUGUCGUUAGCAAAGAACCCUUUAUCACAUGUCCCUUCAAGUGCUUGCUUUAGCAGAACACCCUUUCACCUGUGUCUGCUUCAGAGAAACAUUCCUUCGUGUGUUUGCCCCAGCAAAAAAUGCCAUCCAACACAACUGACUUUCCUAAGAACCCUUAAGUUUUCACUUCGGGAGUUUUGACAGACAGAUGACUGGGUGAAGCAGAAGAGGAAGGUGAGACCCUUAGUGUUGAUCAGGGUAUUAGACUAUGUUUUUGAGGCAAAAAGGAGAAUUAGUAGGUUGAGAGACUGUUAAGAACUGAGUAGAAGUGGCUAGGUUAUUUUGAAGAAUAUGGGAAAGCCUAGAGGUUGAGGGGAAUACAUGGAGUUGGGCUGGCCACAUGGUGGUAAUGUGACAGCUGGGUCCUUCUUUCUUUUUGGUAUUUCCCAUCCCAUGUCUGGAGCCCAAAGAGGGUGUCCUCCAAGCAGCCAGCCCCACCGGCCAAGUCUGCUUGUUUUCCAAGAGGUCCCUCCCUCUUCUUGGAUUGACAGGAAGAGAGAGCAACUGGAAAGACUGGCAAUCUGCAUGAGCUGGACAAAACAGAAAUACACAUCAACUGGCCAUUGUUAACAGUUUGUGCAUGAAAUGUUUCCAUGGCUCAUGUGUUUCAACACCUGGUCUCCAGCUGGUGGCGCUAUUUUAAGAGCUUGUGAGUGUGCAGCUGACUCACUGAAGACAGGCCCUUGAGGGUUCUAGUGUGGCUUUUCUUCCAGUCCUGUUGCUUUCCCAUCCAGCCUCCACAUGAGGAGCCACACACUUCCACCAACAGCACUGAUUAAAUAGCUCCUGCACUGUGCCUUCUCUGCAUGAUGAGCUGAAACUCCCCUGAAGCCAUAACCCAACAUAAACCUCUUCUCUCUUAAGCCACUUCUGUCAAAUACCCUCACAGUGAGAAAAAAAAUAGAUCUAAAUCUAUAUCUUUGUGCCUAUAUUUACCUUUUGGACCUAUCUUUGGUCCAUUCUGUGAAUCUCAAGCAUCAUCAAGACAUAUUGCAAGUGUUGUGCCAGGGAAAAGUUAGUGAUCCUCAAAACACACAUAGGAGCCAAUCUGAUGCGACUCACAGCAGGGUCUUUAUUCUAGUCAAGCCAGCUCCAGCCCCCCUCCCCCUCCCCCAACACACCACUGUCUUGCAGGAUGGUUUUGGUGAUGGAGCCCCGAAUGCCUAUCCGGGCAAGACUUUACAGUAAGCAGCAAGCAGGGAAUAUGUGUGCAAGCAUCAAAUUGGAACACUCCUGUGGCCUUUAACAUAAUUGGCUGGUGCUGAGAGUCAUAUCAUAAACUUAACUUCUG
Molecule: long non-coding RNA, 2974 nt
Organism: Mus musculus (house mouse)
Lineage: Eukaryota; Metazoa; Chordata; Mammalia; Rodentia; Muridae
Product: predicted gene, 34459
Exons: 4
Source: RefSeq, a predicted model, not a curated record